Molecule: ribosomal RNA, 465 nt
Filed under: uncultured bacterium
Lineage: Bacteria
Description: partial 16S ribosomal RNA
Rfam family: Bacterial small subunit ribosomal RNA
Source: RNAcentral
CUACGGGAGGCAGCAGUGAGGAAUUUUGCGCAAUGGGGGAAACCCUGACGCAGCAACGCCGCGUGAGUGAUGAAGGCCUUCGGGUCGUAAAACUCUGUCAAGUGGGAAGAACCCACUUAUGGUUAAUAUCCAUGAGUGCUGACGGUACCACUGAAGGAAGCACCGGCUAACUCCGUGCCAGCAGCCGCGGUAAUACGGAGGGUGCAAGCGUUAUUCGGAAUUAUUGGGCGUAAAGGGCGCGUAGGCGGCCCUGUAAGUCAGAUGUGAAAGCCCGGGGCUCAACCCCGGAAGUGCAUUUGAUACUGCAUGGCUUGAGUAUGGGAGAGGGAAGUGGAAUUCCUGGUGUAGAGGUGAAAUUCGUAGAUAUCAGGAGGAACACCGGUGGCGAAGGCGACUUCCUGGACCAAUACUGACGCUGAGGCGCGAAGGCGUGGGGAGCAAACAGGAUUAGAUACCCGGGUAGUC